UACGAAGGGGGCGAGCGUUGUUCGGAAUUACUGGGCGUAAAGGGCGCGUAGGCGGCCGAUCAAGUUAGAUGUGAAAGUCCUGGGCUUAACCUGGGGACUGCAUUUGAUACUGAUUGGCUUGAAUUCGGGAGAGGAUAGCGGAAUUCCCAGUGUAGAGGUGAAAUUCGUAGAUAUUGGGAAGAACACCGGUGGCGAAGGCGGCUCACUGGUCCGGUACUGACGCUGAGGUGCGAAAGCGUGGGGAGCAAACAGG
This 253-nucleotide ribosomal RNA is filed under the name uncultured bacterium. RNAcentral describes it as "partial 16S ribosomal RNA". It matches the Rfam family "Bacterial small subunit ribosomal RNA", at positions 524 to 776 of the family's 1533-position model. The record is from RNAcentral.